UGAGCUCCGUCCUCCCCACCUUAAGAUUAGGGAUUUAGACAGCAGUGUGGCUGCCCUGCCUCCCUGUGGGCCCUGCGCAUUGUGCUACGGGAUGGACACAGGGUUCAAAUCUCCUGCGGGAUCUGGGCCUCACCUGCACUGGCAUGCCAGAAUCGCCUCCUGCCUCUCUCUGUAGUCACCUGCUGGGAAGGUCAUCUUGGAAUCUACUUUCAGUCCCAGCAUCACCCUCGAAUACCCACUACCCCUGGAAGGGAGAGGAAAUGCAGCCCUGAACUACAUGCAGCAGCGAGGACCGUGCCCUGCCUGAUUCAGCGUACACAGCCUCAAUAAGCUGGUGCCCUGAGCCCAAAAGAGCUGACCCAAAGCUAAGGCCUGGGCAGAGUACUGGUACCUGAGGGGGAGCAGUAAGGGUGAUUCCAAAAAACUAGGCCUUUGC
This 436-nucleotide long non-coding RNA is filed under the name Cavia porcellus (domestic guinea pig). RNAcentral describes it as "lncRNA (ENSCPOG00000036415.1)". The record is from RNAcentral. Lineage: Eukaryota; Metazoa; Chordata; Mammalia; Rodentia; Caviidae.